This 21-nucleotide non-coding RNA is filed under the name Caenorhabditis elegans. The record is from RNAcentral. Lineage: Eukaryota; Metazoa; Nematoda; Chromadorea; Rhabditida; Rhabditidae.
UAAGAUACCUCCCGCUACUCC